Molecule: non-coding RNA, 24 nt
Filed under: Arabidopsis thaliana (thale cress)
Lineage: Eukaryota; Viridiplantae; Streptophyta; Magnoliopsida; Brassicales; Brassicaceae
Source: RNAcentral
ACCCUUGCAACCGUCAUCAUCAUC